RNAcentral lists this long non-coding RNA (516 nucleotides) under Numida meleagris (helmeted guineafowl). Its description in RNAcentral is "lncRNA (ENSNMEG00000014688.1)". The record is from RNAcentral. Lineage: Eukaryota; Metazoa; Chordata; Aves; Galliformes; Numididae.
GUUGCUGCUCAGCUCUCUGAGAGCUGCUUGCAGUUGCUCUGGUGUGUCCUCCUUCAGAGGGGGAGGUUACACAGCUCAGCAGCAGAAAAUGGAGUGCCUGUGCAUUUUCUUGCCUUGUGGGUCAUAUUCUCAGUUGCUGAAUCCACGGUUAUUGUCAAAAAGGCAGUCAGAAACUCCCUGGAGGUUUUUCCAAAGUGAGUAAGGUGACCUCCUAAUCUGGGAGCCAUGAACUUUCUCUAACACUCACAGAGUACGCUGUGACAAAUGAAAAGGUGUAUCUUGAUUUUUAUGAAUGCUUAGAGUAGUAAACAUAAGUAGAGCUAUUGGAACAUUUUAUUUGCAAUAUUAGAAGCUCUGUAAGUUUUAAAAAAAUAUAUUUCUAUAGAAAUUUGACAAUAUUCCACUGAAAUGUUAAAAACGCCCAAUGGGAAAUCUUUCUCAUUUUUACUAGUAGUCUGAAGCAUUCUGCUUCCAAAUAAUGUUGCAUAUUUUUUGAGAGCUGUCUUUAAUAAUACU